GUGGGUAUAGCUCUGUGGUAGAGCACAUGCUUAGCAUGCACCAGGUCCUGGGUUCAAUCCCCAGUUACCUCCA
Camelus ferus (Wild Bactrian camel) is the source of this 73-nucleotide non-coding RNA. The record is from Rfam. NCBI's taxonomy places the organism in Eukaryota, Metazoa, Chordata, Mammalia, Artiodactyla, Camelidae.